UUCAAAUUCCCAGAUUUAGCCAAAUGACCCCAAAAUGACCUACGGACCUCCAAAUCCACUUCCGGACGCGCUCCUAUGGCCAGAGUCAUCAUAAAUACAACUGUAGGUUCAUCUAAUCUUACAAAGGUAAAAAGAGUUCGAGGUAGGAACAACGGCAAAGAAGUGGCAUCACUUGAAGUCGGACAAAAGCUGAAAGUAACCUUUUACAAUAAUCGAACGAUUGGAACAAAUAGCAAACUAUUUUCAAGGCACUUGGGCAGAAUAGUUUGUGACCGCAAUAUGUGUCCGUCGGGAGUAUCAUCGUGGAAUGCUAUUAAGUAAGAAAAGUUGAAUCACAUAUGGGCAGCUAUUGAGGUAACAAAUGUAGAUAAGAGUAUGCAUGUGCAUUUUGAGUCGCACAUAUAAUUGUGCUAUUUGCGCUGUGGCGAGGAAGACCAAAGGUGUAGUUAGAAUAAAUUUGAGAGUGUUGACAUGAAUGUUCAUCGUGAUCAUAUCUUGGGAUGGAUGAAAGAGUUAUGGAACAAAUGGAGAGGACACUUGCAUGCAAAAUAUGUGAAGGAUAAGCCAAUCCAACAGGCUCUUUAGGAAUAUUCCAAAGGGAGUAGACAAGAAAGAAUGGGAGUGAUUAGUAAAGGAACAUUUUUCUUCAGAAAGUUUUCAGGCUCAGAUUGAAUAAAUAGUUCAAUCGGAUCCAUCUCUACCUAGCAUAGAGAUAGUAGAAAAACGUUAUGGACCUCAAACCCGUAGCCAUGUAUUUGACGUUGGGAAUGGAGUAAAGGCGAAAGACUUGAAAGGUGGUACUUCUUCAAAGGCUGAAUUAUUGUUUGCGCUAUGUUCAACUAGAGAGGAAAAUAAAUCUUUGAAUGAGGAAAACAAAUCCUUACAGGAUCACUUUUCUACCUUAGAAGAUGAGAUGAAAGAAAUGAGGAAAAUAAAGGAAUUCUUCGCUAUUCAGCAAUCACGUGUCUCUCAUUCGACAUCGUUCGUUUCAACUGAAUGACCACUAUUUUUGUCUAAUGAACAAGUUAGUAACAAUAUACCCUUCCUUUUAAUUUUUUUUGUUGAUUUUUAUAUAGUCAUUUCUAUCUUAUUGCUACCUCUGUUGCAUUCACGCUUUUAUAUUCCUUCAAAUUAAACACUAUGGGCAGACGAAUCCUUGUCAGUUAUACUGGAAGGUCCUUAUGUUUUUAUCUUCAAGUUAUAAUUCAAGUGUUUUUCGUUUCAUCUUCAUUCCCAUCUUAGCUAUAAGAUUGCUAUACAAAGCUCUUAGUUUGAUAAUACACUGAUAACUCAGUGUUGUAGGUGGUCGAAAAUACAUUACAAUAUUUGUGUUUAAUCUAAUAAACCUUUCUGGUGUUCAACUAAUUAAGCAUCUUAAUCUUUUAGCCAAAUACAUUCUUUCCUAUCUGAUAGAAGAUAAAAAAGAAGAUAUCCUUAAUUUUCCAUCACUCUAAAAAUGAUGUAUUCUUAUUUGAUCAACCAAUUGGAGCUGCAAAUGCGGACAAUAAUUCAUCACCUCUUUUUUAUAAAUUAGAAUAUUCUCUGUAAACUUGAAUGAAGGAAAUCUAACAACUCUUUUCUUAUGGGUGGUGUUUCAUAAUUGCCUUCUAUCUUCAUAAGUCUACACCCUUUGGCCCUUUAAGCAAGUACAUCGUUACUUGGAUGUUGUUUUUCUUUAUAGUGAAUUAUUCGUCUUAUCUGAUUUCCCAGUUACCUUGUUGCUGCUGUUGGCUUGCAGAGCUUAUGGAGUUAAAAUAUGUCACAUGGGCUAAUCCUGAAUUUACUUCCUUUGUUUCUUAGGAUGACCAUAACUUUUAAGGGAUCUUGGCAUACUCUUUUGAAUGGUAAAUCCCGAGUUACCGUACCGGGAUUUAUCGAAUCGAGGUUUGAUUUAUCGUUAGACAAUUAUAUAAAUUGUAUUGUACCAUUGUUGUUGACAAGGUUGAGGUGUUUGAACUGAGAAUAUGAGUUAUCGGCAAAAACUCGUUGGAAAGAAGAUUGAGGUUUGAUUUCUGCAUUUAGAUAACAAAAAUAUUUCUUUUGUUGCUUUUUCCUACUCUCUUUUUGAACUUUCUGGAAGCUCUUUGUUAUGAAUAUGGAAAUGGCUACUGUGAGACAAGUAUCUAUAGUGAGCUUAACUGCCAGCUUCAAACUUUCCUUGUUCUAUAUUUAAAGAUUCACUUUGAUUCUC
This is a long non-coding RNA of Nicotiana tabacum (common tobacco), 2191 nucleotides long. RefSeq lists it as uncharacterized. NCBI's taxonomy places the organism in Eukaryota, Viridiplantae, Streptophyta, Magnoliopsida, Solanales, Solanaceae. The record is from RefSeq and is a predicted model, not a curated record.